RNAcentral lists this ribosomal RNA (460 nucleotides) under uncultured bacterium. RNAcentral's name for it is "bacterial SSU rRNA". It matches the Rfam family "Bacterial small subunit ribosomal RNA", at positions 338 to 795 of the family's 1533-position model. The record is from RNAcentral.
CCUACGGGUGGCAGCAGUAGGGAAUAUUGGUCAAUGGACGCAAGUCUGAACCAGCCAUGCCGCGUGCAGGAUGAAAGCCCUAUGGGUCGUAAACUGCUUUUAUAUGGGAAGAAACCCCCGGAUGCGUUCGGGGCUGACGGUACCAUAUGAAUAAGGAUCGGCUAACUUCGUGCCAGCAGCCGCGGUAAGACGAAGGAUCCAAGCGUUGUCCGGAUUUACUGGGUUUAAAGGGUGCGUAGGCGGAAUUCUAAGUCAGUGGUGAAAGCUCUCGGCUCAACCGAGAAACUGCCAUUGAAACUGGAAUUCUUGAAUGCGGUGGAGGUAGAUGGAAUGUAACAUGUAGCGGUGAAAUGCUUAGAUAUGUUACAGAACACCGAUUGCGAAGGCAGUCUGCUACACCGUGAUUGACGCUGAGGCACGAAAGCGUGGGGAGCAAACAGGAUUAGAUACCCUUGUAGUC